CCUUAAUCUGCCUCAUUCAUCCCUAAAACAGAGGUGAUUCAAAGCACAUAGUAAGCAUCCACCUAUUUUGCCCACAGACCUACCUAGGACUACUUUUUGGAGACUGUGAUGGGACUUGUGGACAGAGAGCUUCAUCGUAGGAGAUGGAGGUUCUUCACGGGAGAGAGAUGGCCCUGUAUGGUUAUUUCACAAACAAAAGCAGCAGCAGCAGGCACCCUGGGUCACCCUCCUGUUGCAGGUUCUGGCCAGAUGCGCCUUUGACUCUCAGAAUCUUUUUGGAAGAGCACUGAGCACUCAUCUCAUCAGGUAUCAUAAAUAAAUCAGAAACGCUAGGAAUAUUUUGCUUGUCA
RNAcentral lists this long non-coding RNA (350 nucleotides) under Athene cunicularia (burrowing owl). RNAcentral describes it as "lncRNA (ENSACUG00000009453.1)". Lineage: Eukaryota; Metazoa; Chordata; Aves; Strigiformes; Strigidae. The record is from RNAcentral.